AGCGGAGGAAAAGAAACCAACAGGGAUUGCCUCAGUAACGGCGAGUGAAGCGGCAACAGCUCAAAUUUUAAAGCUGGCGUCUUUGGCGUCCGCAUUGUAAUUUGGAGAGGCAUCUUCGGUUUGGGCGCCAGCCUAUGUUCCUUGGAACAGGACGUCACAGAGGGUGAGAAUCCCGUGCUUGGCCGGCUGUCCCAUUCCAUGUGAAGUGUCUUCGACGAGUCGAGUUGUUUGGGAAUGCAGCUCAAAAUGGGUGGUAAAUUUCAUCUAAAGCUAAAUAUUGGUGGGAGACCGAUAGCGCACAAGUAGAGUGAUCGAAAGAUGAAAAGCACUUUGAAAAUAGAGUUAAAAAGUACGUGAAAUUGUUGAAAGGGAAGCGCUUGAGACCAGACUCGGCCGGGGAUGAUCAGCUGUCCUUCUGGGCAGUGCACUUGUCUCUGGUCGGGCCAGCAUCGGUUGAGACGGCGGGACAAAGGCUUCGGGAACGUGGCUCCUUUCGGGGAGUGUUAUAGCCCGUCGCGUAAUGCCGCCAGCCUCGACCGAGGACCGCGCUUCGGCUAGGAUGCUUGGCGUAAUGGUCUUCAGCGACCCGUCU
This 592-nucleotide ribosomal RNA is filed under the name Disciotis sp. M95. Its description in RNAcentral is "eukaryotic LSU rRNA". It matches the Rfam family "Eukaryotic large subunit ribosomal RNA", at positions 49 to 654 of the family's 3401-position model. Lineage: Eukaryota; Fungi; Ascomycota; Pezizomycetes; Pezizales; Morchellaceae. The record is from RNAcentral.